This is a long non-coding RNA of Ictalurus furcatus (blue catfish), 2653 nucleotides long. RefSeq lists it as uncharacterized. NCBI's taxonomy places the organism in Eukaryota, Metazoa, Chordata, Actinopteri, Siluriformes, Ictaluridae. The record is from RefSeq and is a predicted model, not a curated record. The transcript has 6 exons.
CCAUGGAUUACUCAAAAAUCUGCUGUGACUUUAAUCUCUGAGCCAAGAAUUUGCCUCAGACAACAUUUGUCACAUGAUAUCAGUUGUCAUAGCAACAAUCAUAACAGAAUUUUAAAAACACAUCAAGCAUAGACUUGCACUGCUCCUGUGAUUCUGUCAGGUAGGUGGUAUGUGUCAAAGUAACAUCCACAUGAAUGUCAGGACCCAAGGGUCCCCAGCAGAACAUUAUCCAGAGAAUCACACUGCCUCCACCAGCGUGUCUUCUUCCCAUAGUGCAUCCUGGUGCCACCUCUUGACCAGAGUCCCCAAUCUCCAACAUCUCAGAAAAGAGCACAGACCAGAACUACAUCAGUUGAGAUUUGUAAUGUACAUGAAUGCCUUAACCAAGUCAUAUCCACCUUGAAUCCACCUUAUAUCCAUCCAUUUUGAAAUACGGAAGAGACUUGUGGGGGGAAGACAUGGAUAGCAAACUCAUUUCUAAAGUCACUCAGAUUUCUUCAAAUUUCAUCAAAUUUCAAAUCAGAUCAAAUUUCUUAAUAGAAAUUGUUACUUAACUACAACUUUACUGUCCUUUAAGUUCUUUAACUGUUGAUUCCUAAAUACAUGUCCAAGUAUUUAAAAAUUUUAACUUAAGUAAAAAUACCAAAAAAAAAAAGGUUUUUUUUUGUUUUUGUUUUUUUUUUUGCAUUUUGUUAGCUGUUAAUUUGGAACUAUGAGCAUAGCUAUUUAACUAUGCAAGCUACUGUUAUGAACAGACAUAGCUAAUGUUAGCUCAUUAACUAGCCAGUUUCCUGGUUGUAUCAAAGAACAAACAACUCAUGAAAUCUUAAAUAUUAAUACUUGUCUACAACAGCUGCUGUUUAGGGACACUGGACACCACUGGGCUAUAAAACAACUAGCUAAUCUCAGUAACAAUUUACUUUGUUCACACACUGUUUAACUUACCUUUAUGUGUUAAUCCUCCUGACUAGCCACCACCUCUGAGUUUUCACUGGAGCAUUAUAGCACAAAAAACUUAUCUAGAUACAGGAGGCAGGUGGAGGUGAUAUGGUGUCUCACAUCCACCUUCAGCUCUGGUGCAUGGUUUAUGGUCAAAACACCUACUCUAAUUUUUUGUUUGUGCCAGUUAUUAUGGCAAACUGUAACUGCACAAACAAUAUUAGUUUUCUGUGAAUCCACAAUUAUUAAUGUCAAAUAUAACAUGUUAAAUGGCAGUGUUGAUAGAUGCUGUGAUGAGUGUCAGCAUGCCAGCAACUUUCCAACAAAAAGAGUGAAUCAGAAUGCUGAAAAUAAGGUACAUAUGAUGCCAUAUAUCAGAUAGCUUCUGUUCUAGUCACUCCAUAACAAGGACGUGUUGGAAAGAACAAAUGGCACAAUCAUUUGAAAGAGUGAACACAGACUUCCCACAGAAACCUACUCUAGCCACCUGAGAGCAUUUACCAGCUGUCUGUAAUUACUCAUCACAUGGCUGUUAUAUUGACAUGCAUUAAGCACUGGUGUGAUUAAAUAUUCAACACUGAGACACGUGAGAUAAGAGAUUCAUGAAGAGGUCCUGCCGACCUCUUACAUUCACUGGCUGUCUUCAUUGUUCUGCUAUACUGAGUGAGGACCUAAGAGUGUGCAGCUGAGCUGGUUUUGUGUCUUCUCUAGCUAUAGAGAGACCCCAUGUGGUGAACAUGAUCUGCACUUCUAUGUGACUCUCAUUACCACUGCUUUUUGACUUGGCUGGUGAUGGCAGAUUGACUUGACAUAAAGUGAGGCUGUGAUGACUGAAGAAGGUUCUGUCAACUGAAUUGCUGUGAUUGCAUUGCUGGAAAUCUGUCUCUUUGGCAAUUGCAUUUGAUUGACUGGCAGACAUAUGCCGUGCCACCAUCUCUUCAUGACAUGACCUAUGGCUUUGAUGAACCAUUAGCAUUUGUUUCAGUAGCCAUGUUCACGUGGCUACUGACUGCAGAUGUAUGAACAGUAUGUAGACUGAUUUUUCUUUUAAUUCUUUCUAUCCUCACUCUACCUUAUACUGGUUUAUUAAUGUGUCUUCAUUAACUGGGAGAUAACCUGAAGACCAUGUCUGGGGUUUGGAGCAGACAGCUGGAUUCACCUUAGUUGUGAGGGGCUGUGUGUGUGUGUAUGUGUGUGUGUUGACAGCUGGCCAGGUUCAGGUUGGUCUAAAACCAUGUGCACCCUGUCAGGCCAGCAACACUAGCUCCUUUAGGAUUGAUGAAUUGCCUGCUUCCUCGAUUAAACCUGCCGUCACUUCUCGAUAAAAGCGACCAAAAAAGAAAACCAACAUGAAAAGCCCAGCCUAGGGAAGGAACAUCAGUGUGAGUCUAUCAUAGUGGAAGGCACAAACACGUUGACAUUUAUUACCAGAAUAUUAAAAACUAAUUCACAUUGAUUUUGCAAGCUUCACUCUCUUUACAGGCUUGGCUCAUUUCAGGAAGAUGGGUUUUGCACUAUAUCUAUAACCUCUACUUUUUUUUGUUUGUGUUCUCUGGUCACAUGGCUCUGGACAGGCUUACCUGCCAACCGUUUUGUAGGGAAUGUUGAUGGAUAUAUCUAUUAAUUUUUUUUUUUUUUUUUUUUGCAUUGUUUAGCACUUUGCUCACAUAGAAUAUAUAUAUUAUGAGAUUAAAUUUUAACAUGUUGCAUUGUA